UACGAAGGGGGCUAGCGUUGCUCGGAAUCACUGGGCGUAAAGGGUGCGUAGGCGGGUCUUUAAGUCAGGGGUGAAAUCCUGGAGCUCAACUCCAGAACUGCCUUUGAUACUGAGGAUCUUGAGUUCGGGAGAGGUGAGUGGAACUGCCGAGUGUAGAGGUGAAAUUCGUAGAUAUUCGCAAGAACACCAGUGGCGAAGGCGGCUCACUGGCCCGAUACUGACGCUGAGGCACGAAAGCGUGGGGAGCAAACAGG
This 254-nucleotide ribosomal RNA is filed under the name uncultured bacterium. Its description in RNAcentral is "partial 16S ribosomal RNA". It matches the Rfam family "Bacterial small subunit ribosomal RNA", at positions 524 to 776 of the family's 1533-position model. The record is from RNAcentral.